UACGGGGGGGGCAAGCGUUGUUCGGAAUUACUGGGCGUAAAGGGCUCGUAGGCGGCCAACUAAGUCAGACGUGAAAUCCCUCGGCUUAACCGGGGAACUGCGUCUGAUACUGGAUGGCUUGAAUCCGGGAGAGGGAUGCGGAAUUCCAGGUGUAGCGGUGAAAUGCGUAGAUAUCUGGAGGAACACCGGUGGCGAAGGCGGCAUCCUGGACCGGCAUUGACGCUGAGGCGCGAAAGCUAGGGGAGCAAACAGG
This 253-nucleotide ribosomal RNA is filed under the name uncultured bacterium. RNAcentral describes it as "partial 16S ribosomal RNA". It matches the Rfam family "Bacterial small subunit ribosomal RNA", at positions 524 to 776 of the family's 1533-position model. The record is from RNAcentral.